CAUGACCUCAGGUCAGGUGAGAUUACCCGUUGAGUUUAAACAUAUUAACGAGUGGAGGAAAAUAAACUUAUCAUGAUUCCCCUAGUAACGAUUAGUGAACUGAAAAGAGCCUAGCUUGAAAAUUAGAUGCCCUAACCAUUCGAAUUGUAAUAUGGAGAAGCAUCCUUAGUAGCAAACAAGGCUCAAUCCCUUGAAAAAGGGUGUUAGAUAGGGUAAAAGCCUCAUUAUGCCUAUACUUUUUCACACCAUGAAGUGCUAUCUACGAGUCAGGUUUAUUGGGAAUAUAGCCCCAAUAGGGCAUUAAAUUCUAUCCAAGGCUAAAUAUAGGAUAAAAAUCGAUAGUAAACAAGUCCUCAAGGGAAAGAUGAAGAGGAUUUUGAAAAGAGAGUCAAAAGAGCUUGAAAUUGUUGGGAAGAAAGAGGAUAGGGGCUGAUGAUGCGCCUUGGUCUGAUAUGGAACAAUGAGAGCCGGUUUGUUAAUCGACUCGAGGUAUAAACCGAUGUGGGUCACGAUAGUGACCUAAUCCUGGGCUUUCGAUAUGCUCAUGGAGACAUUAUUGCCAUGAUCAUGGAAUACAGCACACACAGUCUUGGCAAACUCUGGCAUCAACUUGUGGGUUCCCCAUCCAACUUGUCUUAAAACAUGGACUAAGGAAUCUGACAUGUGUGCGAGUUAAUAGGCUAGAAAACCCAUAAGGCAUAAGACAUUAAUUGAUGGGAUCCCUCUUAGGUGCACCAUCAAUUAACCUUGAUCUUUUGAGAAGGGUUUGAGUGUGAGCAUACUUGUUGAGACCCAAAAGAUGGUGAACUAUGCCCAAGUGGGGCGAAGCUAAAGGAAACUUUGGUGAAGGCUUGCAACAAUAAUGACAUGCAAAUUGUUCAUUUGACUUAGGUAUAGGGGCGAAAGACUAAUCGAAUUGCCUAGUAGCUGGUUCCCUUCAAAGUUUCCCUCAGGAUAACUAGAGUCCUUAGCAAGUUCUAUCGAGUAAAGCCAAUGAUUAGAGGCAUUAUGCAUGCAAUGCCUUCUACCUAUUCUCCAACUUUAAAUAGGUAGGACAGUGUGGCUACUUCAUUGAGCCACGCCACAGAAUUGAGAGCUCUAAGUGGAUAAUUUUUGAUAAGCAAAAUUGGUGAUACGAGAUAAACUGAAAGCCAGGUUACAGUGCCCAACUAUACGCUAAACUAAAACCCACAAAGGGUGUUGGUCAAUUAAGAUAGCGGGAUGGUAGUCAUGGAAGUCAAAACCCUAAACCUGCUGAAUCAACUAGCUCUAAAAAUGGAUGGCACUUAAGCGCAUGACCUAUACCUGAUCAUCAGGGCAAAGGCUAGGCCCCGAUGAGUAGAAAGGCAUGACGGUUGUCGUAAAACCUAAGGCACAAGCCUAGAUGAAAUAGCCAUCAAUGCAGAUCUUGGUGGUAGUAGCAAAUAUUCAAAUAAGAACUUUGAAGGUAAAAAAAAAAAGGUUCCAUGUGAAUGACACUUGCACAUGGGUUACUCGAUCCUAAGAGAUGGGAAAAGUUCAUCUGUUAGCAUAUUUGACACGAACUUCGAAAGGGAAUUAGGUUAAAAUUCUUGAAUUAGGAUGUGAUAGCUGAUGAUAAUGUUAGGGAGUCUAAAAACGUUGGUGGGGGCCUCAGGAAGAGUUAUCUUUUUUGUUUAACAACCUACCCACCAUAAAACCAACUCAACCAAAGAUAGGGUCCAGUGGCUAGAAGAACAUAACAUGUCACAUGGUGUCCUAUGCACCCCCGGUGGCCCUUAAAAAUUAGAAAGAUCGAGUGUCAUUCACCUUUGGUGAUACUCAUAAUUGCAUCAGGUCUCCAAGGUGAGCAGCCUUUAAUCAAUGGAACAAUAUAGGCAAGAGAAAUUGACAAAAUGGAUCCGUAACCUCAAGAAAAGGAUUGGCUUUGAGAGCUAGGCAUGAAGGUCCUAGUUUCGAACCCAUCAUUUGCUAGUACACUACUUUAGUUGCUCUCACCAUGAUAGUGGGUCACUGCAUGCUGAUUUAAGGAUGGACUAGGAAUGGCUCCCUCGGGGGCCUUUUCGAGUAACAAAUAGUUGUCUCAAAACUAGUAUGGACAAGGGGAAUUUGACUAUUUAAUUAAAAUGAAGCAUUACAAUGGUCCUUGCAGAUGCAUAUGCAAUGUCAUUUUUGCCUAGUGCUCUGAAUGUCAAAGUGAAGAAAUUCAACCAAGCGUGACUAAAUGAUAGGAGUAACUAUGACUCUCUUAAGGUAGCCAAAUGCCUCGUCAUCCAAUCAGUGAUAUGCAUGAAUGGAUUAACAAGAUUCCCACUGUCCCUAUCUGCUAUCUAGUGAAACCACAACUAAGGGAAUGGGCUUAACAGAAUCAGUGGGAAAAGGAGACCCUAUUGAGAUUGACUCUAGUCCGACUUUGUGAAAUGACUUGAGAGGUGUAGGAUAAGUGGAAGCCCUCAGGCAAAAUUGAAAUACCACUACUUUUAAUGUUAUUUUACUUAUUCCAUGAAUUAGAGGCAAGGCACAACCACUUUUUUUAAACUCAAAGCCGGCCUUGGUUAGUCAAUCCAAGCAAAAAUUAUUGUUAGGCAGGAACUUUGGUUGGGGUUGCACAUCUAUUAAAAGAUAACCCACCAAUAGGGAACAUGAGCUGGGUUUAAACCGUCAUGCAAUAGGUUAGUUUUACCCUAUUGAUGGCAAUGUCGCAAUAGUAAUUCAACCUAGUGCGAGAGGAACCAUUGAUUCGCACAAUUUAUCAUCGCACUUGGUUGAAAAACUAGUGAAGUGAAGUUAUCGUGUGCUGGAUUAUGAUUAAACACCUUUAAGUCAAAAUUUAGGUUGGAAGUGAUGCAUGCACCCGUCAUCCAAUUACUGACCUACAAUAGGGGCACAUGGCCCUCAAGGGCACAUGUUAUAGGUACAGCCAUAAUGAGGGACAAGCCGCAUGAGCCUCCUUAAAGCUUAAUUCCCAUCGAGUGAUGGGUAUAAUCCUUUGCAGACAACUUAAAUAUGCCACAAGUUAAUAUAUGUUAUAGAGUGGCCUUGCUGCCAUGAUCCACUGAGAUUCAGCCCUUUGUCACUUUGAUUCGACCUUACCCCUCCACACCCACUGAAGCCCUCUCACUUUAUUUUUUUACAUCGCAUCCCUCUAAAGUUAGGGAUGAAUGGUGUUCUUCAUUACAACUGAUUCACCCAAGUGAUGACAUCCCCCUUUGAGUGUCCAAGUAAAUGAU
RNAcentral lists this ribosomal RNA (3209 nucleotides) under Durio zibethinus. Its description in RNAcentral is "eukaryotic LSU rRNA". It matches the Rfam family "Eukaryotic large subunit ribosomal RNA". The record is from RNAcentral. Lineage: Eukaryota; Viridiplantae; Streptophyta; Magnoliopsida; Malvales; Malvaceae.